Long non-coding RNA from Suricata suricatta (meerkat), 1970 nucleotides. RefSeq lists it as uncharacterized. Lineage: Eukaryota; Metazoa; Chordata; Mammalia; Carnivora; Herpestidae. The record is from RefSeq and is a predicted model, not a curated record. The transcript is spliced from 2 exons.
UCCUGACCGAGCACCACCUUCAGCUCCUCCGGCGCGGGCCUGCGGGCGGAGGGGGUGCGCGCUCAGAGCCGGCCACAGGCUUCCUGCUCCCGAGUCCCUUGCUGGGUUUCAGCUUCCUCCUGGGGCGCUGGGGAAGGGUGAGAGAGAGGUAGGGCAUGGGUUCGGGUGUUGACGGAAUCUGGGCUCGGAAGAGAGAGGAGCAGGAGUCCCGGGCAGGGCGACAGGCGCGCCAGGACUCGCCGGUUCUGCAGGCAGUGCGCCGCGGUCAGCACCCAGCAGGAAGCGAUGAGGUUGCCCGCGCAGAAAUUGUGGCGCCAGUACAACGCGGCGAUGUAGGGGUGCGCCCCAGGCAGAGCCACCAGUCCCCCAACCACUCGGCUCAGCGAGGACAGCCGUUUCCGGAGCCGCUGUCCGCAGCUGACACUCGGCAGGGGAAUGGGCUGCUCCGGCGUCGCACCCAAGGCUGUGGGAGGAGCCCAGGCUCAGCGCUGGGAGACCCACCGAGGGCUGGAAGGCCAAUUCCUGACCCAUCCACUCACCCUGGCUGGCCAGCUGCUUGCAAUGGGCAUCAGGACCCUUACACUGGCACUUGGCCACACCCGCCGGCUCAAGCCUAUGCCAUAUUUCUUUCUCAUGGAAGAACUGGAGAAGCUGAGGCUCAAAGCACUUCUCUGGGGAAAAAUGGGGAGAGGGCAGUGGUCUCAGGAGAGGCCAGGAUCAUGCCGAGUCUGUGGGGAUCCAGAGGCCUCUUCAGUAGGCCCAGGACUGCCCCUGUUUUUCCUGGCAUCCUGUCCCUUGGCUUCACCAUCUCCUUACCUCUCUGGCAGUGCUUCCCAGUGAAAUGUUCUGAACAGAUGCAAUGUGGGCCUUUUAGCAUGUUCAUACAUGUCCCUCCGUUCUGGCAGGGGCUGUGUUUGCUGCAGUGGUCUGAGAGAUGGGCACAGUGGGAGGAAGAGUGGGGAGCCUGAGUCAGAGAGCCUGGGUCAUGGGAGACAAGUCCCUACCCAAACUUGCUUGUCCUGUGACCUUGGCACUCCAAGUUUCCAUGCCUUAGUUUACCCACCUGCAAAAUGAAGCUACUUUCUAGAACUUCUCCCUCUGGAAGAAGGGAAGGGUCUGGACAGGUCUGGAAGGAUCUCAGAAUACUAGUGUGUAAGCACUGAUGAUACCCAGUGGAGUAACUAGUGGGAAGGAGAGGGCCUUGAGCUACCCCAAAGGCUGUGUGUAUCACCUUUCACUUUCUUGGGCUCCAGGCAGUAUGCCCAUUGCUGGUCCUGCUUGAAGUUCGGGCUGGUAGCACACCUAUAGAAAGAGAUGAAGCUUCCCUGCUCUGCCCAGGGGACUGGCCCACCUUUCCCUAUCAGAGCCCCCUUUCUCAGAGUUCCCAGAGUUCCUUGGGCAGAAGGAUGGGCAGAAUCCACCUCCCACAGGCCCCUGCUCCAAUCCCUCUGGGUAGUCUUACCAGGGCCGGGGGCCAGGCCGGCCCUUGUGGAUGCAUGUGUGGUAUAGUUGCCGGUUGUACUGGAAGGGGAAGUAGCAGGGCUCCCCAGUGACAGUGAGAACUGCAGAGAUAACGCACUCCCUGAUGAUGUUUCCCAUACACCCCCCCCUUCCCCGCCCAGGUGCCACCCCUCAGGGCCUGGUUGGAAAACAGACCCUUGAAAAGAUCAUUGUGCCUUCAAGAGGUUCACUUCUAUAGCCAGACAGCUGGUGUGGACUCCUGAUUCCACCACCUACUAAUUGUGUGACCUUGGGCCAAUCUGUAGCCCCCAGGUCUAGAAGAGUGCUUGCCACAAAGUAGCCACCUAAUAAAUAUGUGUUGAAUGUAGAAGUCACUUGGCCACUCUGAGCCUUAGUUUCCUCAUCUGUGAAAUGACAAUAGUAUAGUUGACCCUUAAAAACCUAAGUUUGAACCACACAGGUCCACUUAUGUGUGGGUUUUUUUCGAUAAAUACAGUACUAUAAAUGUA